UCCUGGCCGUAAACGAUGUGGACUUGGUAUUGGGAUGGCUACGAGCUGUCCCAGUGCCGUAGGGAAGCCGUUAAGUCCACCGCCUGGGGAGUAUGGUCGCAAGGCUGAAACUUAAAGGAAUUGGCGGGGGAGCACAGCAACGGGAGGAGCGUGCGGUUUAAUUGGAUUCAACGCCGGAAAGCUUACUAGGGGAACUGCCGUAGUGGGCCAGGCUGAAGCCUUGCUCGAAUAAU
RNAcentral lists this ribosomal RNA (233 nucleotides) under uncultured bacterium. RNAcentral describes it as "partial 16S ribosomal RNA". It matches the Rfam family "Archaeal small subunit ribosomal RNA", at positions 745 to 980 of the family's 1478-position model. The record is from RNAcentral.